This 465-nucleotide ribosomal RNA is filed under the name uncultured eukaryote. Its description in RNAcentral is "bacterial SSU rRNA". It matches the Rfam family "Eukaryotic small subunit ribosomal RNA", at positions 250 to 697 of the family's 1831-position model. The record is from RNAcentral.
CAGCAGUUAUCGAUGCGAACCGAAGCUCGGUUGAAAUAAACCGUCGGUGAGUCAUUCAAAUUUCUGAUCUAUCAAACUUGAAUGUAGGGUAGCGGCCUACAUUGGUGGUGACGGAUACGGAGGGUCAGGGCUCGACUCCGGAGAGGGCGCCUGAGAGAUGGCGACCACUUCUAAGGAAGGCAGCAGGCGCGACAAAUUACCCAAUGUCCAUUUGAAACAAGAGGAUGAGGUAGUGACCGCGAAUAUAAAUACCGAUUGACUUAUGUUGGUUGGUAAUUUAAAUGAGUACAAUGUAAAUGACUUAACGAGGAUCAAUUGGAGGGCAAGUCUGGUGCCAGCAGCCGCGGUAAUUCCAGCUCCAAUAGCGUAUAUUAAAGUUGUUGCAGUUAAAAAGUUCGUAGUUGGAUUUGAGAAAAGAAGAUUAGCUGGGGAGUAGGAGACUGUAAAAGGUUGAUUGCUUUCCAU